CCUGUGACAUACCACUUGUUGCCUCGGCGGAUCAGCCCGCUCCCGGUAAAACGGGACGGCCCGCCAGAGGACCCCUAAACUCUGUUUCUAUAUGUAACUUCUGAGUAAAACCAUAAAUAAAUCAAAACUUUCAACAACGGAUCUCUUGGUUCUGGCAUCGAUGAAGAACGCAGCAAAAUGCGAUAAGUAAUGUGAAUUGCAGAAUUCAGUGAAUCAUCGAAUCUUUGAACGCACAUUGCGCCCGCCAGUAUUCUGGCGGGCAUGCCUGUUCGAGCGUCAUUUCAACCCUCAAGCACAGCUUGGUGUUGGGACUCGCGUUAAUUCGCGUUCCCCAAAUUGAUUGGCGGUCACGUCGAGCUUCCAUAGCGUAGUAGUAAAACCCUCGUUACUGGUAAUCGUCGCGGCCACGCCGUUAAACCCCAACUUCUGAAUGUUGACCUCGGAUCAGGUAGGAAUACCCGCUGAACUUAAGCAUAUCAA
This 480-nucleotide ribosomal RNA is filed under the name Fusarium oxysporum. Its description in RNAcentral is "eukaryotic LSU rRNA". The stretch from base 126 to 279 matches the Rfam family "5.8S ribosomal RNA". Lineage: Eukaryota; Fungi; Ascomycota; Sordariomycetes; Hypocreales; Nectriaceae. The record is from RNAcentral.